Molecule: ribosomal RNA, 560 nt
Filed under: uncultured bacterium
Lineage: Bacteria
Description: bacterial SSU rRNA
Rfam family: Bacterial small subunit ribosomal RNA
Source: RNAcentral
CCUACGGGAGGCAGCAGUGGGGAAUCUUAGACAAUGGGGGCAACCCUGAUCUAGCCAUGCCGCGUGAGUGAUGAAGGCCUUAGGGUCGUAAAGCUCUUUCGCCUGUGAUGAUAAUGACAGUAGCAGGUAAAGAAACCCCGGCUAACUCCGUGCCAGCAGCCGCGGUAAUACGGAGGGGGUUAGCGUUGUUCGGAAUUACUGGGCGUAAAGCGCGCGUAGGCGGAUUAGAAAGUUGGGGGUGAAAUCCCGGGGCUCAACCCCGGAACUGCCUCCAAAACUGCUAGUCUAGAGUUCGAGAGAGGUGAGUGGAAUUCCGAGUGUAGAGGUGAAAUUCGUAGAUAUUCGGAGGAACACCAGUGGCGAAGGCGGCUCACUGGCUCGAUACUGACGCUGAGGUGCGAAAGUGUGGGGAGCAAACAGGAUUAGAUACCCUGGUAGUCCACACCGUAAACGAUGAAUGCCAGUCGUCGGAUAGUAUACUAUUCGGUGACACACCUAACGGAUUAAGCAUUCCGCCUAGGGAGUACGGUCGCAAGAUUAAAACUCAAAUGAAUUGACGG